UAAAUUCUAGUGCGAGUAAUCGAUAGCUGCAAUCAAUUGUUUUCGACAGAAAAGUUUCGAGCAAUCGGAAAGAAUGAAGUUCGAUCGAUUAUUGAAACUCGAAUCGAACUCGCAUUCGAUUUGACUUCGAUAUGCUCGCACUAGUGACGCCAUAUUGUAGACAGGGGUUCACGGAUCUCGAGCCGCACACAACUGAGAAUCGCGUAUACAUGUACUGCGCGAAGCGUUCUGCGGGAUCCGUGGACCCCAGUGAAUCCCGAACAAAGCUAUAAAUCAAUAUAUGUACAUCCUGUUCGAUUUUCUAUUAAUAAUUUAAAUAUUUAGAAAAUUUGUAGUUUUGUAUUUGAUAAGAAUUGCUUUCGACGGACUUGUUUUGCUGAUUUUAGUUGAAGAAUAUUAAUUUUUUUUUCAGAUUUCAAAUAGAAGAUUAGAGAUUGCAUUAGUAGCAAGGUAACAGAAGCUCGUUGCACACACAUCGAGGAAAGAUUAAUGUGUAUACGGUUAUCAAGUGCUUACGAUAUCACGAAGUUCACCACGACACAGCAAUGCGGCACAUACACGUGUAUUAUUACGCCAGGUGUGUUUACCAUUCAAUUGUCCAAUUAAUCCGGAAAUGUUCACAUCCUUCUGCAUCCAAAAACAGUUACCUGGGGGACAAUCUGCGGAUCCUCGCUUUAAUUAAACCCGUGAGACGCGAAGAUAUCUUCUCGAAUAACUCGCGCCACUCGGAAAGAUUAUACCUCGCGGGCGUAUAUAUCGACAACGCGCUGCGAAAGGAAGACGGGCGUCUCGCAAGGAGGAAGACAAUGCCGGGAGGAGCCGCGGUGGGACGGCGAGAGAUAAAAAGAAAGUGGAAAAUGAGACGGGCGAGUUCUGAAAGUGGAACGGGGCUGUGCGCCAGUGUGGGAGAUAAGAGCGCGGACCGAAGAAUGCACCGGCUCUCCAGUCCGCGGCGUGAUUUGUAUCUCCUUCGUCCGUGGAGUCCGGAGUCUGCGCCGCCUGGUAGGUGCGCCCCUGACUGUGUCGGCUCU
This is a non-coding RNA of Linepithema humile (Argentine ant), 1031 nucleotides long. The record is from RefSeq and is a predicted model, not a curated record. Lineage: Eukaryota; Metazoa; Arthropoda; Insecta; Hymenoptera; Formicidae.